GAGCAGCUCCCUCGCUGCGAUCUAUUG
RNAcentral lists this non-coding RNA (27 nucleotides) under Oryctolagus cuniculus (rabbit). Lineage: Eukaryota; Metazoa; Chordata; Mammalia; Lagomorpha; Leporidae. The record is from RNAcentral. RNAcentral also lists the same sequence under 2 other names.